This 28-nucleotide small RNA is filed under the name Bombyx mori (domestic silkworm). RNAcentral's name for it is "ovarian small RNA-9610". The record is from RNAcentral. Lineage: Eukaryota; Metazoa; Arthropoda; Insecta; Lepidoptera; Bombycidae.
UUCCUAGGUAGUCUGGAUAUUUCGGAUC